This is a long non-coding RNA of Herpailurus yagouaroundi (jaguarundi), 995 nucleotides long. RefSeq lists it as uncharacterized. The transcript is spliced from 3 exons. NCBI's taxonomy places the organism in Eukaryota, Metazoa, Chordata, Mammalia, Carnivora, Felidae. The record is from RefSeq and is a predicted model, not a curated record.
GAGAGAGAGAUGGAAUUCUUGGGUCCCCUCUGGGGACUGGAUUUGUCCAUCUUUUCCCCUGCCUCCCCAUCCUGAAGUUUCCAUGGAAGUCUGCAAUGAAGUUCUCAUUUAACAAGAAAAAGGCGACAGCAGCAGGGAAGCAUUUCCCGGAAUCCAGGAGGAAGCAUGAGUCACUGGCCUGCUAAGUGAGCCCUGCGUGGCCACUACGGCACCAGCCCAGGAGGCCUGGAGCAUAGGGCCAGCCUCCAGGACCGCGCCAGGCUGCCCGCAUAGACAUGCCCACUGCCCGGGCUGACGCAGGCUCCGGGAAUGCAAACAAAGGUGACAUAAGUGCUGCUUUGGAGCCAGAAGCCAGCGUUCUGGGAUCUAGAGGUGAUGGAAGGUGCUGGGCCCAACGUGCACGCUUGGCCCGUGCUGGGUCCAGCAGAGAAGGAGGGCCAAUGGGCAAACUGCCAACCUGAAACCAGAAGCACAACCAGGAUCAGCUCAUCGGGGACAGAAGCCACCAGAACCAGUAACUCUUAGGAUUACUUAAAUGGUAAUUUCUAUACCCUCCCACCGCCCCCCGCCACCCCGCGCCAUGGCAGUCCUAAAAACACAUUUUUAAGGUGUGAUUGACAUACAGUAAGCUGUGGAUAUUUAGCGUAUACGACUUGACGAGCGUGUACCUAAGCGUGCAUCUGUGAAACCAUCAGCAUCGACUACGCCAUGAACAUCGCCGUUAUCUCCAAAGGCUUUCUCCCGUUCUAUUUAUUAAUGAAUUAUAAUUAAUAAUAAUGAAUUAUUAUUAUUGUGUUGUUGCUAUUAGAUGGGGAUUGUGAGGGCCUGAUGGAAGUUGGGUGUGGACUGGACUGCAAGUUACAAACUUGGUCCCCUCCUAGGGACGCCCGGACUUUUAUGGGCUUCACCCCCAGGAGCCCUACCCAGUUCAUACGAUGAAGAUCAGAGAAAAACCCCUUCUGUUUGGAGCAGAAAAAAUAAACACUUUGCAAUAU